CAGUCGCCACGGGAAUACGUAGGUGGCAAGCGUUGUCCGGAAUUAUUGGGCGUAAAGGGCUCGCAGGCGGUUUCUUAAGUCUGAUGUGAAGGCCCCCGGCUCAACCGGGGAGGGUCAUUGGAAACUGGGAAACUUGAGUGCAGAAGAGGAGAGUGGAAUUCCACGUGUAGCGGUGAAAUGCGUAGAGAUGUGGAGGAACACCAGUGGCGAAGGCGACUCUCUGGUCUGUAACUGACGCUGAGGAGCGAAAGCGUGGGGAGCGAACAGGAUUAGAUACCCCCGUAGUCCCUGUCUCUUAUAC
RNAcentral lists this ribosomal RNA (301 nucleotides) under uncultured bacterium. RNAcentral's name for it is "partial 16S ribosomal RNA". It matches the Rfam family "Bacterial small subunit ribosomal RNA", at positions 509 to 807 of the family's 1533-position model. The record is from RNAcentral.